This is a non-coding RNA of Coturnix japonica (Japanese quail), 3764 nucleotides long. NCBI's taxonomy places the organism in Eukaryota, Metazoa, Chordata, Aves, Galliformes, Phasianidae. The record is from RefSeq and is a predicted model, not a curated record.
GCUGUGCUGUGCGGUGCUGUGCGGUGCUGUGCUGUGCGGAGGCCUCAGGAGGGCGGUGCUGCGGGACUGGCCCGGGCUCGGAGCCGGCCGUGUGCCCUUCUUGUGCCCGCCCGUGACGGCGGAGCGCUGCUCGGCGCUGCGGGAACUCGGAGCGUGGAACUCGUGACGCGCGGACAGGACUUGGGCAGCCUCGUGGGCUUUGUGUUUAAGCCGUCGUUCAUGAAACUCGUGGCACCAUUCUGGAAGCAAAAUGAUGCAUAGAACAGUGCAGUAGCUUCACAGUGUGAUUUAGUGAUGCUUUGGCAAGGGGGCCAUGUAAUUGGUGGGGGGAGAAGUGUUAAUGAGGACGUGUUGUACCCUAUGAAUACCUAAGAAAGGAUUCAUCCCUGUGCUGGCCGGUAGGGAUGUAAUUCCGAGUCCUGUCGCAAAUCCCCAGAACUCACUCUCUGGUGAUGUUACAGAUACAGCUGUGAGGCUGCUUCCAUUCCAGCUGCCUCUUUGCAGCCUGGUAGUCUAUGUACCAGAAGCCCAAGCUGUGAUCAGAAUGCAUUCAAUGCAUUCCUGAGGCUUUCUGCAAUGGAAAUGUGAAUCUUGCCUUCCACUGUCAUUUUAUUCUCAUAAUUCUAAAAUAAACCAACAAGAAAACCAAACAACAACAACAAAAAUCCCCUCUUCUUUAUAUGGAGCAGCUUUUGAAUAAUAACGAGAAAAAAAUUGCUUCAACUCUACUGCAUCCAUAAGGAAUAAUGACAGAAGCGUUCCCAUGUCAGUGUUGCUUUUUGUAGUAGGAAGCAGCGCCUGUAUGACUGCACGCACAAAGAUACCGUGUUGGCUAUACUAACACAGAACUUUAUUUUAGUCAUUUUUUUCAUUUUAUUUCUGCAGCUCGGACAGUCUCUAAGCUCUCCCGACUUGUGAGAACAUCUCCUUUUCAGUGACCAAAGAGAAAGCUUUCAGAUGACAUGUCUGUUCAAGGCAACGCUCUGACAACUUUCCUCAUGGUGACAUCUCAUCUACGUUAAUUAGAGCACUUCCAGAAGAUAGGAUUGCAUCUCAUGAGAAAGCUGGCACUGAUGACUAUGCACAUGUGAUAUCUAUUAGAAAGAUUUCAGGAUUCCCUUGAAAAAUCUCAUGGUUCCCGUGUAACUGAGCAUCAGUCAUUUACUGCUAACCAGGGAAAGCGUUCACACUUCCUGCCUUCUGCUUUGGUAUGUACUGUACAAAGAGACUUUCAGUGGUCAUUGACUGCUUCAACUUGCUGACAUAUAAUUUAGGAAAGCACAGCCAUGUGUUAAAUGAAAGUUUUUAUUUCUCCAAGAUAAAUAGUGGAGAAGGAAUAAAAUGUAAUAGUAAACACAGUACAUAAUGUUUCACUAUGCAAAGGUACACGUGUUUUAAUGCACCUAUUUACACUUCCAAAACAUUAUGCAGUUUGUCAUGCUAAUUAAUAGUUUAUAUUUGCUUUUGUGAGAACUGCUUAAUGUUUAAUACCCAUAUUUUUAUGUGUUACGCCCCUGGUAGUAGUUCUAAAUUAGUCUAAUUUUCAAGGGACUUCUUGCAACAAAGGUAGGCUUAUGUAAAUGUAUUUUGUUUUUUUUAAUGAAGGGAUUAGCGCGUAAGAUUCUGUUUUCAUUUGCGUGCAUUUCACAGCUACUUAUUUCUAACGUAUCUAACAGCUUUUAGACUUUGGCUGGCACCUCAGGAUGUAUGCAAAGCAUAUCCUGUGCAGCCAACUUUGAUGUGGUUUAUAUAAUACACAGACAUGCUGUAUUUUAACAAGUUUCACCAGAACAGCUAUGUCAGCGUCUCCCCCUCCAGCCAACAUCUCCAGGCCAGUAAAACUUCAAAUGUAGACACAGUCUGCUAGCUAAAAAAGAACUUACAUCAGCUCAGUUUGUGUCAUUUUGUAAACUGAUGUAACUUCAGUGGCAAGAAGGCUAUGUGAGCAUCUACAGAUGACUGCACACAUUCAUUUUAGAAACAGCUGUUGUACCAAUUUUUCUGUCUUAGAGGUUGCCCCCCUUACAGCAAAGCCAGGGGAAUGGGACACGCAAACACUGCUCGUUCACACCAAUGCAAAGUGAGUCAAACACUUGAACAGUUUGCACCAGUGAUCUGGACAAACCUGCAGUGUCUAGCUCUGUCAGAUGUUACUCUGAUCAGAUGUUAUCUCCACACUGGAGAUAGAGCUGCGUGUUUCAGCUCCAUUGCUCCAUUCCCAAGAAGAUAGUGGCAGAAAGCACACAGGCAUGCCAUCAUCAGUUUGUCUCAGGUGGCUUAAAAUGAUGGUGAAAUUGAGGUUUGCUAAUACAGCUCACUUUGUACUUAAAUUAAAUAGGAAAAAAAAAUAAAUCACUUUUGUGGGAAUUGUGGUAAUUUACAUUUAUCUUGAGGGAAAAAAAAAAAAAAAAAAAAAAGCAGGAGAAUUGAAAACAAUUGUGCUGCAAUAUACCAGACCCUGACCACAAAGCAAACAUGGAGUGACAGCAGACUUCCUUCCCCUUGCCUAGAUAACUAAGGAAGAAUAUGGUUUUACUCAUGGAGUUUCACCAGGCUAUUCCUAAUCUUGGACUUCCUUUCCUAUACGCUAUCCAUUGUUACAUUACAAAGUCACGGUAUAGGAAAUAGGUGUUCUUAUAUGAACUGGAACCAAAACAGAAUCACAGUCAUACCUUUGAACUCAUACAUAUAAACGUUUCAUCAACAGCAAUACACUUAGGUCUAAUACAUUUGAAUAUUACAUUCAAAAGAUAAUUCUAAGAUGAAAUCUAAGAGUUCAAAGAAUUUUCUGUUGAACAAGAAUCUUAGGGCUAAUCCAAAAUUCAGACACUGAUAUAUAUAUAUGCGUGUAUAAAUCUGAACUAACUUCAUAUGCCUGUUUCAAUGAAAACAGUUUUCUCCAUAGAAUUCAAGAAACAUCAGAUUAAUCAGAAAGCCAGAUGACGGGUGAAAGAAUAUUCAGUUCAGUACAUUAGAAGAUUGCAGGAAUGUUUGAUAGAGACAGACAGAAGUACGAGAAGAUAAAACUUGUAAGGGAGUCUAAAUGUGCCCUAGAGAUGGGGAAUCAAUUAAAACUCAGGUCAGUAUAUUUAAUAAAAUGGAUUGCAGCCAUACACAUCCUAUUGAAAAGGAUAUAAACAACAGGAGGAAGAAAAGCACUGCUUUGUGAAUUUACUCAGUGCUUAAACGAAUACAAACAUUUACAACACUGAACAGAACACAUCAUCCUGACUUUAAAGAAUUGAAUGCUCUUUGCUAAAUGUUUUAACAAAUUGAUUAGCAAGUUCAAAGGAAACAAGAUGCCAACCAGUGUUUUACAUUGCUUUGAAAUACUGAAAGUUUUAUUGUUUUAGUUUAAAAUUGAUCAUGAAUUCAGAAAAUGCAAAGUGAAACAGUUUAAGCGAAGUCCUGAGACCAUCAACAAUUUUAAUGAAGGACAAACACUGAAAAUGAUUGCAGUGAACCUCCUCCAGAGUGAAUGAAAAACAAUUAAACUUUCUGCCCUCUGCUGUUUAAACCUGGUAUUUCUGCACUUCUACAUACGCACAAGUAUAGACUGAAGAAACAUUCCUGCAAUGCAUCAUUCUCCCCACAUACAAAUCUGUGUGAGAGCACGUAACUGAGGGCUGAGUCUAACUCUGCUUUUCAGGGAACUGCCUAUCUUAUGCUGCCAAUGCUUGGACUUUUAGUUCUUUUGUGCACUCAGAAGUCUGCACCAACACGAUGUUCAUCUGAAUUUAGUGGUCUAUCAAAAAAAAAAAAAA